Molecule: ribosomal RNA, 505 nt
Filed under: uncultured bacterium
Lineage: Bacteria
Description: partial 16S ribosomal RNA
Rfam family: Bacterial small subunit ribosomal RNA
Source: RNAcentral
GACGAACGCUGGCGGCGUGCCUAAUACAUGCAAGUAGAACGCACAGUUUAUACCGUAGCUUGCUACACCAUAGACUGUGAGUUGCGAACGGGUGAGUAACGCGUAGGUAACCUGCCUGGUAGCGGGGGAUAACUAUUGGAAACGAUAGCUAAUACCGCAUAAUAUUAAUUAUUGCAUGAUAAUUAAUUGAAAGGUGCAAUUGCACCACUACCAGAUGGACCUGCGUUGUAUUAGCUAGUAGGUGAGGUAACGGCUCACCUAGGCGACGAUACAUAGCCGACCUGAGAGGGUGAUCGGCCAAACUGGGACGGGGACACGGCCCAGACUCCUACGGGAGGCAGCAGUAGGGAAUCUUCGGCAAUGGACGAAAGUCUGACCGAGCAACGCCGCGUGAGUGAAGAAGGUUUUCGGAUCGUAAAGCUCUGUUGUAAGAGAAGAACGGGUGUGAGAGUGGAAAGUUCACACUGUGACGGUAUCUUAACAGAAAGGGACGGCUAACUACGUG